This 410-nucleotide ribosomal RNA is filed under the name Limosilactobacillus fermentum. RNAcentral describes it as "bacterial LSU rRNA". It matches the Rfam family "Bacterial large subunit ribosomal RNA", at positions 2515 to 2925 of the family's 2925-position model. Lineage: Bacteria; Bacillati; Bacillota; Bacilli; Lactobacillales; Lactobacillaceae. The record is from RNAcentral.
GGUUUGGCACCUCGAUGUCGGCUCAUCGCAUCCUGGGGCUGUAGUCGGUCCCAAGGGUUGGGCUGUUCGCCCAUUAAAGCGGUACGCGAGCUGGGUUCAGAACGUCGUGAGACAGUUCGGUCCCUAUCCGUCGCGGGCGUAGGAAAUUUGAGAGGACCUGUCCUUAGUACGAGAGGACCGGGAUGGACAUACCGCUGGUGUACCAGUUGUUCCGCCAGGAGCAUCGCUGGGUAGCUAUGUAUGGAUGAGAUAAACGCUGAAAGCAUCUAAGUGUGAAACUCGCCUCAAGAUGAGAUUUCCCAUUCCUUUGGAAGUAAGACCCCACAGAGAUGAUGUGGUAGAUAGGAUGGAAGUGGAAGUGCGGUGACGCAUGGAGCGGACCAUUACUAAUCGGUCGAGGACUUAACCAA